Molecule: ribosomal RNA, 2042 nt
Filed under: human gut metagenome
Description: bacterial LSU rRNA
Rfam family: Bacterial large subunit ribosomal RNA
Source: RNAcentral
CUCGAUCGCUUACCGACGGUGGUAGAGCACUGGAUCCGUGCGGGGGCCUCACCGCCUACCAACCGAAACCAAACUCCGAAUGCCGUCGGUCCCGAGAUCGGGAGUCAGAACAUGUGGGCUAAGCCGUGUGUUCGAGAGGGAAACAGCCCAGACCGCCUGCUAAGGUCCCCAAAUCAACGCUGAGUGGCAAAGGAUGUGCGUUUGCCUAGACAACCAGGAUGUUGGCUUAGAAGCAGCCAUGCAUUUAAAGAGUGCGUAACAGCUCACUGGUCAAGUGGACAUGCGCCGACAAUACACGGGGCUAAGCGUUGUACCGAAGCAGCGGACUGUUUUAUCAGUGGUAGGGGAGCUUUCCAUGCCGGGGCGAAGCCGACGGGCGACCGUCGGUGGACUGCAUGGAAGUGAGAAUGCUGGCAUGAGUAACGAGAGAGGGGCGAGAAACCCCUCCGCCGUAAGCCUAAGGGUUCCUGGGCAAGGCUAAUCCCCCCAGGGUCAGUCGGGAGCUAAGGCGAGGCCGACAGGCGUAGCCGAUGCACAACAGGCGGACAUUCCUGUACCACCGCGGAGCGUUACUACGACGGGGUGACGGAGAAGGGUAGCCGGGCGGGGUUCUGGACGUCCCCGUGAAAGCGCGUAGGCCGCAGGGCAGGCAAAUCCGCCCUGCAGCAGGCCGAGACGUUAGACGAAGCUUCAUGUGAAGCCGGCGAGCCCAUGCUUCCGAGAAAAACCUCUAAGGAGCGAGGCGGUGCCCGUACCAAAACCGACACAGGUAGGCGGGUAGAGCAUACCAAGGCGAUCGGGAGAACCAUGGUUAAGGAACUCGGCAUACUGACUCCGUAACUUCGGGAGAAGGAGUGCCCCCGCCUGUGAGGUCCCACGCGGACGGAGCGGGAGGGGGUCGCAGCGAAACGGCCCAAGCGACUGUUUACCAAAAACACAGGACUCUGCAGAAGCCGCAAGGCGACGUAUAGGGUCUGACGCCUGCCCGGUGCCGGAAGGUCACGCGGAGGAGUUAGCCGAUUCGGCGAAGCCCCGAAGCCAAGCCCCGGUAAACGGCGGCCGUAACUAUAACGGUCCUAAGGUAGCGAAAUUCCUUGUCGGGUAAGUUCCGACCUGCACGAAUGGCGUAACGACUUGGGCGCUGUCUCAACCAUGGACCCGGUGAAAUUGUAUUGGUCGUGAAGAUGCGACUUACCCGCGGAAGGACGGAAAGACCCCGUGAACCUUCACUGCAGCUUGGCAUUGGCCGCUGGUCCCGCGUGUAGAGGAUAGGCAGGAGGCAUCGAUCCGGAGGCGCCAGCCCCCGGGGAGCCGCCCUUGGAAUACUGCCCUCGCGCGACCGGCGUCCUAACCCGAGGCCGUCAACCGGCUCGGGGACCGUGCCAGGCGGGCAGUUUGACUGGGGCGGUCGCCUCCUAAAGGGUAACGGAGGCGCGCGAAGGUCCGCUCGGGACGGUCGGCAACCGUCCUUUUGAAUGCAAGAGUACAAGCGGGCUUGACUGCGAGGCCCACAAGCCGAGCAGGUGCGAAAGCAGGCUCUAGUGAUCCGGCGGCCCCGAGUGGGUGGGCCGUCGCUCAACGGAUAAAAGGUACUCCGGGGAUAACAGGCUGAUCUUGCCCAAGAGUCCACAUCGACGGCAAGGUUUGGCACCUCGAUGUCGGCUCAUCGCAUCCUGGGGCUGGAGCAGGUCCCAAGGGUACGGCUGUUCGCCGUUUAAAGCGGUACGCGAGCUGGGUUCAGAACGUCGUGAGACAGUUCGGUCCCUAUCCUCCGUGGGCGCAGGAGAAUCGAUGGAGGCUGCCCCCAGUACGAGAGGACCGGGGUGGACGCACCUCCGGUGAACCGGUUGUCGACCAACGGCACGGCCGGGUAGCCGCGUGCGGCGCGGAUAACCGCUGAAGGCAUCUAAGCGGGAAGCCGUUCCAGGGAUUAGUUCUCCUUCCGGUAAGGGCCCAGGUAGACUACCUGGUCGAUAGACGGCAGGUGCAAGGCUGGCGACAGCCUCAGCCGAGCCGCACUAAUCGCCCGAGCUCUUCCGGAA